AUGACAAAGCUGAAAGAGCCCAUUGUAACACACCCACUUGGGCUUUGGGAGUUGCAGACACCCACCCCUAGACACUACUGGUGGCGAAGGUGGAGCCCAAAGCACUUGCCCCAGCUCCUGCAUCUGGCCCGUUUGUGUGCUCCCACUCCCGUAAAAGAUUUGAGCUCCCAGCAGCUGAACAGAGUGCAACACCCCUGUCACAUGUCCUGCAAGAAGCAGGGGCCAGGGAACUCUCCCACCUCAAAGCUGUCUUCUUGGGGUCCGUGGAACUGAAUCUUUGAUGAAGUGUAGAAAAGAGAUGAAGACUGUGUCAGAGGAAAUAAUUUAUCAAAAGUAAUUGUAAGAGUUUGUCAGUACUGGCAAGAGAAAGUUCUGUAUUAUCUAGUUUCAGUCUGAAUGACUUUCAGCCUUAAGACCUCCAACAGCAAGGCAAAAGAAUUGAGGAACCUGAAGUUACUCCCACCGCCCACCCACCUACUCCACUGCAUGGAGAGAGAAAAAUGAGAUGAAGCUGAUUGGGAGCUGGGAGGCUGCAGGGGGCCAUGUGGCAAGGAAGAACAGGGAGGAAUAUCAGAAACAAAGGUGACGUUCUUGUCAUCCUAGGAGGAGAUAUGUACGUGCUGAUGGACUCUAGCUUUUGACUUUAACUUUUAUUUCAAGUUCAGGGAUACAUGUGAAGCUUUGUUAUAUAGGUAAAUUCAUGUCCUGUGGGUUUGUUGAACAGAUUAUUUCAUUACUGAGGUAUUAAGCCUAGUACCCAUUAGUUAUUUUUCCUGAUGCUCUCCCACCUCUCAUCCUCCAUCCUCCAAUAGGUCCCAGUUUCUGUUUUUCUGCUCUAUGUAUGUGUUCUCAUUGUUUAGCUCCCACUUAUAGGUGAGAACAUGUAGUUUCGAUUUUCUGUUGCUGUGUUAGUUUGCUAAGAAUAAUCACCUCCAGCUCCAUCUAUGUUCCUGCAAAGGACAUGAUCUCAGUUUUUCUUAAUGGCUGCCUAGUAUUCCAUGGUGUAUAUGAACCAUAUUUUCUUUGUCCAGUCUACCACUGUGAGCAUUUAGGUUGAUUCCUUGUUUUUACUGUUUUGAAUAGUGCUGCAAUAAACAUACACAUGCAUGUGUCUUUAUGACUGAAAGAUUUAUAUUCCUUUGGGUAUAUAUAUCCAGUAGUGGGAUUGCUAAGUCAAAUGGUAUUUCAGUUUUUAGGUCAUCGAGGAAUCGUCACACUGUCUUCCACAAUAGUUAAACUAAUUGACCAUCCAACCAACCAUAUGUGUUGCUUUUUCUCUGCAACCUCACCAGCAUCUCCUGUUUUGUGACU
RNAcentral lists this long non-coding RNA (1311 nucleotides) under Callithrix jacchus (white-tufted-ear marmoset). Its description in RNAcentral is "lncRNA (ENSCJAG00000062237.2)". Lineage: Eukaryota; Metazoa; Chordata; Mammalia; Primates; Cebidae. The record is from RNAcentral.